This is a long non-coding RNA of Oryza sativa Japonica Group (Japanese rice), 1401 nucleotides long. RefSeq lists it as uncharacterized. NCBI's taxonomy places the organism in Eukaryota, Viridiplantae, Streptophyta, Magnoliopsida, Poales, Poaceae. The record is from RefSeq and is a predicted model, not a curated record.
AUCUCGCCGCUCUCGCGGCCCUUUCUCUCCCCGCCAGCUCAUGCCUCGCCUCCGUGCGCCGCGCUCCUCGCCCUCGCUCUCGCUCGUGCAGUGACAUGUCACGCGCCGCCGCCUUCACCUCCUCCAACGGUCCAUUGACGAUGAAGACGGAAAGAGAGAGGGCGAGAGCUAGAGGGGAUGGGGAGAGGAAGGCACGCAGCGAGUUCCCCUCCUUCCUUCGUAGCAAUUGGUGCUUCCACCAGCAAGCUUUCUAUAACGUGGAGUGUCGCCGACCACGGCCGCAGCCUCCUUCCUCUGGAUUGGACUCCACUGGGAACUCCUCCGACAUAUCAAGUGUGCCUGUCCACCUUCUACCUCUGAGGCAAAGAUUGGAUCAAGCAAGCUGGAUCUGACUCAGCACCUUGAUCUGCUCAACAACCGGAGCCCCCACCUCCUUAUACAUCCCAAAGAUGGAUAUGCAUCUUCUGUAUUCAGUUAGGAUAAGGCUUCCAAGGUCUGCAUAAAGCAACCGUGAGACUCACAUGCUACAAAAUUUUGGUUUCACAUGAUGUUUAUGACUGAAAGUAAUGCAGUAUCAGGCAUGCAAAAAUAGAAGUUUAGUUGAUCUACUGGUGCUUCAUCUGCAAACACCAUGGAUCAGUUCAUGACAGCAUGACCAUAAGGUUGGGAGGGACAAGAACAAGGUGUCCAUUAAAGUUAUGGAGAUAAUGCUGUUCAGGCCGGUCCAGUGAAAAGAGAUUAAAGAGGAUUAAAUUGUUUGCAGGUCAACGUUUUAUUAGUUCAGUGCAAUCAUUCCCUGAUUGUCAUAUUUAGUCAUAAAUUGAUUGUACAUUUGUACAAAUCGUUGAAGUAGUUCUAUUUAGAUUUAUAGGUUGCAUUACUAUUUGAAAAUGUGUGGCACUUUAUCUAAGGGCCUGUUCAGAUUGAUGUCAUUUUCAACCAUACCAUUUUUGGGCAUAGUUGCCAAAAAUGUGGCUAUGUUUAGUUUGUUGCCAAAUUUUAGUAAAUACAUAAGAAAUCCUGUCAAAAUUUUGGCAAUAUUGCCAACUUACCAAAAUUUUGGUAUUGCUUACCAAAAUUUGCAAGGUUUAUUUUGGCUACAAUCUGAACAGGUCCUAAAAGUUGAUAUAUUCAGUACUAAGUUUACUAUUAUGUUGUUUUUUUGUUAGGACUACAAGAGAAUACAUUUGUGUAUUUGACGAAAACCCGAGUUUUGUGGUCCAUCAAGAUCUCACUAUUUUCUUUCCGAAUUGUCAAUGCAUGUGUCACUGCAAGCUGUUUGGUCGUCUAUAUAUGAUCAAAAGAUUUAUGUUGUGUUUAAUAUUGGAUUGUAAGAUUUUCUUAUGCCAUGUAUAUGUACACUUUACAACUAUAAAUGCCUUCAACAUGCAUCUCAGCUCA